This 253-nucleotide ribosomal RNA is filed under the name uncultured bacterium. RNAcentral describes it as "partial 16S ribosomal RNA". It matches the Rfam family "Bacterial small subunit ribosomal RNA", at positions 524 to 776 of the family's 1533-position model. The record is from RNAcentral.
UACGAAGGGGGCUAGCGUUGUUCGGAAUUACUGGGCGUAAAGCGCACGUAGGCGGAUUGUUAAGUCGAGGGUGAAAUCCCAGGGCUCAACCCUGGAACUGCCUUCGAUACUGGCAUUCUUGAGUCCGAGAGAGGUGAGUGGAAUUCCGAGUGUAGAGGUGAAAUUCGUAGAUAUUCGGAAGAACACCAGUGGCGAAGGCGGCUCACUGGCUCGGAACUGACGCUGAGGUGCGAAAGCGUGGGGAGCAAACAGG